RNAcentral lists this transfer RNA (68 nucleotides) under Oberthuerella sharkeyi. RNAcentral's name for it is "tRNA-Ile". The record is from RNAcentral. Lineage: Eukaryota; Metazoa; Arthropoda; Insecta; Hymenoptera; Liopteridae.
AUUAAUAUGCCUGAGUAAAAGGAUUAUUAUGAUAUAAUAAAUUAUGUAACAUUAAGUUUCUAUUAAUA